UUCUAUUCUAUUCUAUUCUAUUCUAUUCUAUUCUAUUCUAUUCUAUUCUAUUCUAAUUCUAAUUCUAAUUCUAAUUCUAAUUCUAUUCUAUUCUUCCUUCUUGUUUCACGACCACCAUUAGCCCUUGAUUUUCAGCAGCUUCCAUGCAAACACGUUACGACAAGUUAUCCGCAGGUCCGUGCCCGGGCCCCAGGGUAACGGCACGUCUGCGCAGGGCGAUUGCUUCCCUGGGGAAAGGCGUCCGGGAGGAGCCGCCGCAGCGCGGACCGCGAAACCCGGCACUCGUGGAAGGGUUUAGGGCCCGUUUCCAACCGAAAUGUAUUUUUCGCAAAUGCCGAUCGCUCUCUAUCUGCUUUUCGCGGCGUUAGAGUCCAUAAACCCUUCUUCUGUCCUGAACAGCGCGGCUGCUUCCGCACGCUUAAACGGGAUCGCUUCRUAUUUUGGCUUUUGCAACUGCAGCCGAGGAGGGAGUCAUUUUUCUUUUCUUUUCCCGGCGUCAAAAUCCAAGCCUAGAGCCUGGCGGCCGGGCCGCUCCAGCGGUCUCUCUGCGCUGCCAGGCUUUAAAGCCGGGACUCGGCGCUUCCUGCCGCCCGGGAUGCUGUUCCUCGCUCCCGGGAAGCACACGUCCUUCCCCGGCCCGGAGCAACGUAAAGCCGCUCAUGGCUGCGAGAAAAAGCAGCUCGUGCACGGKUUUUUUUGGCCGACGUCGGAGCGGAGCGUUUCCCUGCACUCCGGAGGGCUGGCCUGAUCCGUUUGCCUCUCCGAAGCGUCCGUUCCCGAUUUACCAAAUCCCUCCUCAAAGCAGGCAGCUGGGGAAGGAAGCGUUUACAGAUGUGCUCCAGAGACGCGAGGGCGUCGGGGAGCCGCCGUGCUCCGCUCGCCGCGGGGGCGUUUCGGCGGCGACGAGCCCGGCCGCCGGAGCCGCCGGCGUCUCCAGCCCGGAUCUUCUGCAGAGGGCAGCACGACCCAGGAGAUCRGCUGCAGCUUCUGCCUCCCGCCGCCGCUUCCCGGCGGAAGACGGUGGAAAUGGGGCAAAGCCACGUUUGGCAGCAAAACGCUUUACGGAAUAUCCCGCUGCGGGUGAAGGGGGGGGGGAGGGAAGAUGGCGGCCGCCAGCGGCUGAGGGAGGAGGAGGAGGAGGAGAAGGAGGGAUCGAGGCCGCGGCGGGCGGCCUCCUCCGACGCCGCCCCCCUCGUCCUCCGUGCCCAGCUCCGCCCCGUCCCGCCGGGAGGGAGGCAGCGAGAGCGGCGAGCGAGCCGGAGCCCCGCAGCCGCUCCGCGCCGCGCCGCCGAGGCAAGGGGCCCCGGGUGCCCAGGAGCCCCGC
Molecule: long non-coding RNA, 1324 nt
Filed under: Apteryx haastii (Great spotted kiwi)
Lineage: Eukaryota; Metazoa; Chordata; Aves; Apterygiformes; Apterygidae
Description: lncRNA (ENSAHAG00000013195.1)
Source: RNAcentral